UGAGAAACCCUCUACACGAGGAAUUCCAAUGCAACCUUUACCUGGUAGCGAAAUAGUUCACACCUGUUAGGUCAGCAGAGGCGACCGGAAUGAGCAAAGGAAGGCUUGCCCUUGCCUUUCAUCCUCCUCCAGAGGACUUGCCUUUUCCAACCAGCGCAGAGCAAUCCAGGAGAUGUAUUCCAAGAUCUUUCCAUGUGGGCUUGUGGCUUCACCUCUCUCCGGCUGUUUUCUUACCUGUUAUGGCCUAAGCAUCUCUUUGUUAUUUUUCUGAUUUACAGGGUUGACAUGCAGGCCAAAUAAGAUGAUGGUUGGGGCGGGUAGAAGACUUUUACAAGGCAUCUUGUUUGACCUUCAUCCCUUAGAGUUAGUUACCUCUGUAAUCAUCCAUCAGGCCCCUAAAUAACAAGCUCCAAAGGCAAAAUCCUCAAAAUCUUUUCCAACAGAGUUGACUGGUAUCAACAACAAACUCGUCUGCUCCAAGGAGUAUGAACUGAGUUUUUUCUACCUUGUGACUGGGUUGUCCUUGAAAAUCAGAGAAAGCUUGGAUCACAUAUAUGUCCAUCAUCUUUUCUUCUCUUUAUGUCUGUCCUGGAGCUUGCUUGUGAUUCUUUACACCAGGCUCCUGUCAGUUCAACCAGAUUUUUUUUUUUAUGAGCCUGUUGACUUCAAGAGUGAAAGACCCUAUCAAACGUCUUUAAAGCUAGGCCUGGAGCUAACUAGCAUAGCCUCCACUCUCUUUUAUGGUUGAAAUGAAGUAAAGGAGUUGCUUCAGAUUCAAGAAGACAGAAAGUACACUUUGUUUAUUUUCCAGAACGCUGAUGCCAUGUCCUUAGAGGGGUCGUAGCUGCUGGCAAAUUUGAAGAGGGAACUUGAGGAAGCCUCAGUGCUUUAAGCUAGAGGAUGGCAGAGGUUGAAUCUGAAGUCACCAUCAGAGAGAAAGAAAGAACAGAUCACAAAAGAUGGGCAGAGUGCCCGGAACUUCAUACCUGUGUCAUCUCCUUUGUGUGAAAGGGGAAAUCCAAGACUCCAUACCUACCUGUGAUACAUCAGUGCAUCUUUGGCUUAUUGGAGCAAAGCUAAGAGAACAAUGCCGGCAUUAUUUCACAAUACGCCCUUUGAUCCAGUUUGGAACUAGUUGCCUACAGUUGUAUUUGCUUUCUUCCACUUUGUACUGCCCUAAUGGAAUGCCUGAGACUAGGUACUCAUAAGUGACAGACGUUCAUUUCUUACACUCCUGGAGGCUGGGAAGUCCAAAGUCAAGAAGUCUACAUCUAGUGAGGGUCUGUGUGCUGCUCCAUCCCAUGGCGGAAGGUAGAACCCAUGAGAAGGUCCACACAUAUGAGAGAAAGAAAGGUUCCAAACUUGGUCUUUAGUUAGGGAACCCCUCCCUGAAUGACUGACUCAUUCUGCAAUAAAGGCAUUAAUCCACUCACAAGGCAGAGUCCCAUGAACUAAUGUGCUCUUAAAGUUCUUCCAUCUUAACACAGAGGGACUGAGUCUCUCACAUUCAAAUUUCUCAAACUCAAGCAGUGCUGUUUUUCUCUUACGUCUCUAGAUAUAAUCUUAUACCUCUAGAGUUUCUUUCAAAUGUACGGGCCAGUGGUCAACGAUACAGAAGAAUACAAGGAAUCUGAUCUGGAAGUGCUGGAAAUAGCAAUCAGGACAUUUUUUCCACUCCCGACCUUGCACACUUGGGACUGGGGCAUAGAUAGCUUAGAGGGAAGGAAGGAAGAGCCCUAGAAUGGGUUAUUGUCUACUGUGUUGAAGCUGCUAUGCCGGGUCUUUACAAUGUAUCUCCAUACAUUUCCAUACCUCUACAGUGUAGGCAAAAAAAACCUGCUAUUUUAUGGAAGUGUACAGCAAACUUAGGGAAUAGAUCAAGUAAGAAAGGAAGAAUUUGAAAUCCAAAGCAUCUAGUCAGACCCCAUUAUAUAACAGGAAAAUAAACAACUCAUCUUAUCAGUGUAAGGAAAAGCUAAACAGCUGCCUAAACCAGAAUGUGACAGAAUAAUCUGAACAAAUAAAAAGACUAUUAAAAGAUGAAGUUAAUGUGAGUGAUUAAAUAAACUUGUCUGGGACUGAGGAGAUGGCUCUGUAUUUAAGAUACUUGUCAUACAGGUUUGAGGACCCGAAUUUCAGUCCCCUGAAUCCAUGUAGAGCUGAAAAUGGUAACAUGCAUGUAGAAUACCAAUGUUCCUAAAAUGAAAUAAGAGACAGGGACAGCAUCAUCUCCAGAGAGUUGCAGGCUGCUAGUCUGGCACACCUAGUGGUGAACUAUAUGGUGUAAACUGUCAAACAGAGUAGAAGAGAAGAACUAUUACCCAAGGUUAUCCUCUGAUCUCUAAAAUAUUCUGCAGCAUGCUCCCCCCCACACUCACACCCAUGAACAUGCAUAUGCUGCACAUGCUAACGCUGCGCGCACACAUUAGCACACUUGUACACAAUAAAUACGUAAAUGGAUACAUUUUCUUAAGGUGUGAAGAGCAUCUUCAUAGAUGACAUUAGUGUCUUUUGUCCAUCAAACAGUUGUGCUAUCCUUGUGUCUGGUCACAAAACAAAAACAACCACUUGAAAAAUUCUUCUCGGUAGAGAACUUUAAUGUUAUUAUUUCCUGUAAACCUGGAAACCAAAAACUAGAUGUCCAGUAAAUAAAGCAAGCAGGUUUUUGAAAAAUUUAACCAUUUUUGGGAAAAUGUGGACAUUCUUCGAUAUAAGCUUGAGAGUAGUAAUAAAUUAAAAGUAGAAAAUAAAUCUAGGAAUAAGUGGGA
Molecule: non-coding RNA, 2768 nt
Organism: Myodes glareolus (Bank vole)
Lineage: Eukaryota; Metazoa; Chordata; Mammalia; Rodentia; Cricetidae
Source: RefSeq, a predicted model, not a curated record